RNAcentral lists this ribosomal RNA (2548 nucleotides) under human gut metagenome. Its description in RNAcentral is "bacterial LSU rRNA". It matches the Rfam family "Bacterial large subunit ribosomal RNA", at positions 398 to 2925 of the family's 2925-position model. The record is from RNAcentral.
UGUGAGCUCGAUGAGUAGGGCGGGACACGUGGUAUCCUGUCUGAAUAUGGGGGGACCAUCCUCCAAGGCUAAAUACUCCUGACUGACCGAUAGUGAACCAGUACCGUGAGGGAAAGGCGAAAAGAACCCCGGCGAGGGGAGUGAAAAAGAACCUGAAACCGUGUACGUACAAGCAGUGGGAGCCUCUUAAUGGGGUGACUGCGUACCUUUUGUAUAAUGGGUCAGCGACUUAUAUUCUGUAGCAAGGUUAACCGAAUAGGGGAGCCGAAGGGAAACCGAGUCUUAACUGGGCGUUAAGUUGCAGGGUAUAGACCCGAAACCCGGUGAUCUAGCCAUGGGCAGGUUGAAGGUUGGGCAACACUAACUGGAGGACCGAACCGACUAAUGUUGAAAAAUUAGCGGAUGACUUGUGGCUGGGGGUGAAAGGCCAAUCAAACCGGGAGAUAGCUGGUUCUCCCCGAAAGCUAUUUAGGUAGCGCCUCGUGAAUUCAUCUCCGGGGGUAGAGCACUGUUUCGGCAAGGGGGUCAUCCCGACUUACCAACCCGAUGCAAACUGCGAAUACCGGAGAAUGUUAUCACGGGAGACACACGGCGGGUGCUAACGUCCGUCGUGAAGAGGGAAACAACCCAGACCGCCAGCUAAGGUCCCAAAGUCAUGGUUAAGUGGGAAACGAUGUGGGAAGGCCCAGACAGCCAGGAUGUUGGCUUAGAAGCAGCCAUCAUUUAAAGAAAGCGUAAUAGCUCACUGGUCGAGUCGGCCUGCGCGGAAGAUGUAACGGGGCUAAACCAUGCACCGAAGCUGCGGCAGCGACGCUUAUGCGUUGUUGGGUAGGGGAGCGUUCUGUAAGCCUGUGAAGGUGGCCUGUGAGGGUUGCUGGAGGUAUCAGAAGUGCGAAUGCUGACAUAAGUAACGAUAAAGCGGGUGAAAAGCCCGCUCGCCGGAAGACCAAGGGUUCCUGUCCAACGUUAAUCGGGGCAGGGUGAGUCGACCCCUAAGGCGAGGCCGAAAGGCGUAGUCGAUGGGAAACAGGUUAAUAUUCCUGUACUUGGUGUUACUGCGAAGGGGGGACGGAGAAGGCUAUGUUGGCCGGGCGACGGUUGUCCCGGUUUAAGCGUGUAGGCUGGUUUUCCAGGCAAAUCCGGAAAAUCAAGGCUGAGGCGUGAUGACGAGGCACUACGGUGCUGAAGCGACAAAUGCCCUGCUUCCAGGAAAAGCCUCUAAGCAUCAGGUAACAUCAAAUCGUACCCCAAACCGACACAGGUGGUCAGGUAGAGAAUACCAAGGCGCUUGAGAGAACUCGGGUGAAGGAACUAGGCAAAAUGGUGCCGUAACUUCGGGAGAAGGCACGCUGAUAUGUAGGUGAAGCGACUUGCUCGUGGAGCUGAAAUCAGUCGAAGAUACCAGCUGGCUGCAACUGUUUAUUAAAAACACAGCACUGUGCAAACACGAAAGUGGACGUAUACGGUGUGACGCCUGCCCGGUGCCGGAAGGUUAAUUGAUGGGGUUAGCGGUAACGCGAAGCUCUUGAUCGAAGCCCCGGUAAACGGCGGCCGUAACUAUAACGGUCCUAAGGUAGCGAAAUUCCUUGUCGGGUAAGUUCCGACCUGCACGAAUGGCGUAAUGAUGGCCAGGCUGUCUCCACCCGAGACUCAGUGAAAUUGAACUCGCUGUGAAGAUGCAGUGUACCCGCGGCAAGACGGAAAGACCCCGUGAACCUUUACUAUAGCUUGACACUGAACAUUGAGCCUUGAUGUGUAGGAUAGGUGGGAGGCUUUGAAGUGUGGACGCCAGUCUGCAUGGAGCCGACCUUGAAAUACCACCCUUUAAUGUUUGAUGUUCUAACGUGGGCCCCUUACCGGGGUUGCGGACAGUGUCUGGUGGGUAGUUUGACUGGGGCGGUCUCCUCCUAAAGAGUAACGGAGGAGCACGAAGGUUGGCUAAUCCUGGUCGGACAUCAGGAGGUUAGUGCAAUGGCAUAAGCCAGCUUGACUGCGAGCGUGACGGCGCGAGCAGGUGCGAAAGCAGGUCAUAGUGAUCCGGUGGUUCUGAAUGGAAGGGCCAUCGCUCAACGGAUAAAAGGUACUCCGGGGAUAACAGGCUGAUACCGCCCAAGAGUUCAUAUCGACGGCGGUGUUUGGCACCUCGAUGUCGGCUCAUCACAUCCUGGGGCUGAAGUAGGUCCCAAGGGUAUGGCUGUUCGCCAUUUAAAGUGGUACGCGAGCUGGGUUUAGAACGUCGUGAGACAGUUCGGUCCCUAUCUGCCGUGGGCGCUGGAGAACUGAGGGGGGCUGCUCCUAGUACGAGAGGACCGGAGUGGACGCAUCACUGGUGUUCGGGUUGUCAUGCCAAUGGCACUGCCCGGUAGCUAAAUGCGGAAGAGAUAAGUGCUGAAAGCAUCUAAGCACGAAACUUGCCCCGAGAUGAGUUCUCCCUGAGACUUAGAGUCUCCUGAAGGAACGUUGAAGACGACGACGUUGAUAGGCCGGGUGUGUAAGCGCAGCGAUGCGUUGAGCUAACCGGUACUAAUGAACCGUGAGGCUUAACCUU